Molecule: non-coding RNA, 26 nt
Filed under: Cricetulus griseus (Chinese hamster)
Lineage: Eukaryota; Metazoa; Chordata; Mammalia; Rodentia; Cricetidae
Source: RNAcentral
CAUCUGGGACAGGAGCUUAGAAACGA